UUCGGGAUGGAGAGUGGCGCACGGGUGAGUAACGCGUGGGGACCUACCUCUUAGUGGGGGAUAACGGUUGGAAACGACCGCUAAUACCGCAUACGCCCUUCGGGGGAAAGAUUUAUCGCUAAGAGAUGGACCCGCGUUGGAUUAGAUAGUUGGUGAGGUAACGGCUCACCAAGUCAGCGAUCCAUAGCUGGUUUGAGAGGAUGAUCAGCCACACUGGGACUGAGACACGGCCCAGACUCCUACGGGAGGCAGCAGUGGGGAAUAUUGGACAAUGGGGGCAACCCUGAUCCAGCCAUGCCGCGUGAGUGAAGAAGGCCUUCGGGUUGUAAAGCUCUUUCAGAUGCGAAGAUGAUGACGGUAACAUCAGAAGAAGCCCCGGCUAAUUUCGUGCCAGCAGCCGCGGUAAUACGAAAGGGGCUAGCGUUGUUCGGAUUUACUGGGCGUAAAGGGCACGCAGGCGGUCUUGCCAG
This 470-nucleotide ribosomal RNA is filed under the name Thalassospira sp. Ar-89. RNAcentral describes it as "bacterial SSU rRNA". It matches the Rfam family "Bacterial small subunit ribosomal RNA", at positions 82 to 587 of the family's 1533-position model. Lineage: Bacteria; Pseudomonadati; Pseudomonadota; Alphaproteobacteria; Rhodospirillales; Thalassospiraceae. The record is from RNAcentral.